AGGUUCCCAGGCUAGGGAUCCAAUCGGAGUUGCAGCUGUCGGCCUGGCCUACACCACAGCCACAGCCACAGCCACGCUGAAUCUGAGUCACAUCUGCAACCUACAUCAUGACUUGUGGCAACGCCAGAUCCUUAACCCACUGAGCAAGGCUAGGGAUCGAAUGUGCAUCCUCAUGGGUGCUUGUCAGCUUCUUAACCUGCUGAGCCACAGUGAGAACACUUUUAAGAAUAAGAAGGCAGGAUAAAGGGUAAGAAGAGAUGGAGGGAGGGGCCACUACAGACAGAGCGUUUGUCCUGGAAGGCUUCUGAGCAAAGCGCUGAGCUAAGAGGCAGACAGCCAAGCAGGUAUCUAAAGGAUGAGCAAUUUAGUUGGAGGGAAACAGAAAAUAGUUUGUUCAAAAGUCAUGAGUCAGGGAGUUCCCGUCGUGGCACAGUGGUUAACGAAUCCGACUAGGAACCAUGAGGUUGCGGGUUCGAUCCCUGGCCUUGCUCAGUGGGUUAACGAUCCAGCGUUGCCGUGAGCUGUGGUGUAGGUUGCAGACGUGGCUCGGAUCCUGCGUUGCUGUGGCUCUGGCGUAGGCUGGCGGCCACAGCUCCGAUUCAACCCCUAGCCUGGGAACCUCCAUAUGCUGCAGGGGCGGCCCAAGAAAUAGCAAAAAGACAAAAAAAAAAAAAAAAAAAAAGUCAUGAGUCUAUUCUCUCACCCUGAGAUCAAGGAUGAGGGACUAAGAAUUGACAUUUUUUCUUUUCUUUUUUUUUUUGGCUGCAUACAAAAAUUCCCAGGCCAGGGAUGAAACUGGUGCCACAGGCAUGAAAAUGCUGGAUCCUUAAUGCACUGAGCCACCAGGGAACUCCUCCACAUUUCUAAUAAAACGCCAGGAUGGUGGUGGUGGUUCCUGGAUCACAAUUUGAGUGGCAUCGGUCAAAACCAGCCCUCUAGAAAACUUUCUGACAGACUAAGGACUGGAGGUUUUCACCUUCAAAUCAUUCUACUAACCUCAAAGAAUGCUCUGUUACCUGAGGGCAAAAAAAUUAAAGAAGGUAAACACUGCAAGCUUCUCUUGCAGUGGGAUUUUAACAAAUGGGAUUAGAAUCAAGGUUUGUUAGGAUCAGACGGCGCACCAAAGCCAACUCUAAGCACCUAACUUUACCCACUAGAAGAUCCAGGCCCUU
Molecule: long non-coding RNA, 1172 nt
Filed under: Sus scrofa (pig)
Lineage: Eukaryota; Metazoa; Chordata; Mammalia; Artiodactyla; Suidae
Description: lncRNA (ENSSSCG00000060543.1)
Source: RNAcentral